RNAcentral lists this ribosomal RNA (499 nucleotides) under uncultured bacterium. Its description in RNAcentral is "partial 16S ribosomal RNA". It matches the Rfam family "Bacterial small subunit ribosomal RNA", at positions 28 to 507 of the family's 1533-position model. The record is from RNAcentral.
GACGAACGCUGGCGGCGUGCCUAAUACAUGCAAGUCGAGCGGACUGACUGGGAGCUUGCUCUUGUUCGGUCAGCGGCGGACGGGUGAGUAACACGUGGGCAACCUGCCCGCAAGACCGGGAUAACUCCGGGAAACCGGAGCUAAUACCGGAUAACACCGAAGACCGCAUGGUCUUUGGUUGAAAGGCGGCGCAAGCUGCCACUUGCGGAUGGGCCCGCGGCGCAUUAGCUAGUUGGUGAGGUAACGGCUCACCAAGGCGACGAUGCGUAGCCGGCCUGAGAGGGUGACCGGCCACACUUGGAAUGAGACACGGCCCAGACUCCUACGGGAGGCAGCAGUAGGGAAACUUCCGACAUGGGCGAAAGCCUGACGGCGCGACGCCGCGUGAGCGAAGAAGGCCUUCGGGUCGUAAAGCUCUGUUGUGAGGGACGAAGGAGCGCCGUUUGAAGAAGGCGGCGCGGUGACGGUACCUCACGAGGAAGCCCCGGCUAACUACGUG